Molecule: ribosomal RNA, 306 nt
Filed under: uncultured bacterium
Lineage: Bacteria
Description: bacterial SSU rRNA
Rfam family: Bacterial small subunit ribosomal RNA
Source: RNAcentral
ACGAGCGCAACCCCUNUCCUUAGUUGCCAUCAGGUAAAGCUGGGAACUCUAAGGAGACUGCCCCGGAAAUCGGGGAGGAAGGUGGGGAUGACGUCAAGUCCUCAUGGCCUUUAUGUCCAGGGCUACACACGUGCUACAAUGGGCGGUACAACGAGUCGCGAAGCCGCGAGGCCGAGCCAAUCUCAAAAAGCCGUCCUCAGUUCGGAUUGGAGUCUGCAACUCGACUCCAUGAAGGUGGAAUCGCUAGUAAUCCCGGAUCAGCAUGCCGGGGUGAAUACGUUCCCGGGCCUUGCACACACCGCCCGU